RNAcentral lists this transfer RNA (73 nucleotides) under Stegodyphus mimosarum. It matches the Rfam family "tRNA". Rfam says of the family: Transfer RNA (tRNA) molecules are approximately 80 nucleotides in length. The record is from Rfam by way of RNAcentral. Lineage: Eukaryota; Metazoa; Arthropoda; Arachnida; Araneae; Eresidae.
GCCUUUGUGGUGUAGUGGUCAACAUGCUCGACGUGUAUUCUAGAGGUCCGUGGUUCGACUCCUGGCGAGGGCU